GAGUUUGAGUCCCUGGCUCAGACGAACGCUGGCGGCGUGCUUAACACAUGCAAGUCGACGGAAAGGCCCUGCUUUUGUGGGGUGCUCGAGUGGCAACGGGUGAGUAACACGUGAGUAACCUGCCCUUGACUUUGGGAUAACUUCAGGAAACUGGGGCUAAUACCGGAUAGGAGCUCCUGCUGCAUGGUGGGGGUUGGAAAGUUUCGGCGGUUGGGGAUGGACUCGCGGCUUAUCAGCUUGUUGGUGGGGUAGUGGCUUACCAAGGCUUUGACGGGUAGCCGGCCUGAGAGGGUGCCGGCCACAUUGGGACUGAGAUACGGCCCAGACUCCUACGGGAGGCAGCAGUGGGGAAUAUUGCACAAUGGGCGGAAGCCUGAUGCAGCAACGCCGCGUGCGGGAUGACGGCCUUCGGGUUGUAAACCGCUUUCGCCUGUGACGAAGCGUGAGUGACGGUAAUGGGUAAAGAAGCACCGGCUAACUACGUG
RNAcentral lists this ribosomal RNA (485 nucleotides) under uncultured Propionibacterium sp. RNAcentral describes it as "bacterial SSU rRNA". It matches the Rfam family "Bacterial small subunit ribosomal RNA", at positions 1 to 507 of the family's 1533-position model. The record is from RNAcentral. Lineage: Bacteria; Bacillati; Actinomycetota; Actinomycetes; Propionibacteriales; Propionibacteriaceae.